Molecule: transfer RNA, 74 nt
Filed under: Micromonospora fulviviridis
Lineage: Bacteria; Bacillati; Actinomycetota; Actinomycetes; Micromonosporales; Micromonosporaceae
Also listed under: 2 other names
Description: tRNA-Pro
Source: RNAcentral
CCGGGACGAGGGAGCUGGCUGACCCGCUCGCCUUGGGCGCGAGAGACACGCGGUUCGAUUCCGCGGUCCCGGAC